CAAGUAAGUCCUCUUGGGAAAUCUGGCAGCUUAACUGUCAGGCUGCUAGGGGAUACUGCUAGGCUUGGGACCGGGAGAGGUGAGAGGUACCUUGGGGGUAGGGGUGAAAUCUUGUGAUCCUCGGGGGACCACCUGUGGCGAAGGCGUCUCACCAGAACGGGUCCGACGGUAAGGGACGAAAGCUGGGGGAACGAACCGGAUUAGAUACCCGGGUAGUCCUAGCCGUAAACGAUGCUCGCUAGGUGUCAGUCAGAGUGCGACCGUGAUUGGUGCCGAAGGGAAGCCGUGAAGCGAGCCACCUGGGAAGUAUGGCCGCAAGGCUGAAACUUAAAGGAAUUGGCGGGGGAGCACUACAACGGGUGGAGCCUGCGGUUUAAUUGGAUUCAACGCCGGAAAUCUCACCGGAGGCGACAGC
This 415-nucleotide ribosomal RNA is filed under the name uncultured methanogenic archaeon. Its description in RNAcentral is "bacterial SSU rRNA". It matches the Rfam family "Archaeal small subunit ribosomal RNA", at positions 530 to 943 of the family's 1478-position model. The record is from RNAcentral. Lineage: Archaea; Methanobacteriati; Methanobacteriota.